Cinara cedri is the source of this 209-nucleotide non-coding RNA. NCBI's taxonomy places the organism in Eukaryota, Metazoa, Arthropoda, Insecta, Hemiptera, Aphididae. The record is from the annotation of a GenBank genome assembly.
UUUAACUACGGUGCGAAAUGGAAUACAACGAAAUGGAAUUCUCGCGUUUUGUUCGUUCGAUAUGCGAAACGGAUUCCGCGCUCGGAAAGCGUCACUUCAGGAACGUUCCGAACGAAAUCGAAUAGUUUACGAUACAGCCCGCACCCGAUAACAAUUGCGGUACGCUCGGUCGACGCGAAACGCGAGCCGACGCGGUUCAAUCGAGCGGC